UCAGCGCGCCAAUAUGGCGUCACAUCUUGUAAAAGCUCUAUUUUUUUUUAUUUGAUCUCUUACCUACUCAGGGGUAUAAAAGACCAGGUACCGCCAUUCGAAUGCAUCAGUUGAAUCUUAUUCGUCUAUUCCGGAUUUACCAUGAAGUUCUUCGCAGUUAUUAUCGUAUUUGUGCUCAGUUUGCUGGCUAUUGGCAACGCUUACCCCUUGUCCCCUUGCAUUAUGAAUAAAGGCGGAAGUGAUAAAGGCGGACAAGGUGAAGAUUACUCCUAUGACGGGGAUGAAUGAUUCAGAUGGUGAUGCUGAUCAAGAAUAUAUGUACUGUGUGGGGUCUCCUUUACUCCUUUGACAACUUUCGACUGAAAUUAUAAUAUCAUAGAAAUACAUGGAAUAUAUGGAAUGUAUGUUGUAUUUAUAUUUCCUGUGUACAUUCAUUUUGCAGUGUUUUGUUUGGAUUUAAUAAAAAAAAAAUGUUGAUUUAUUUA
Long non-coding RNA from Drosophila ficusphila, 485 nucleotides. RefSeq lists it as uncharacterized. The transcript has 2 exons. Lineage: Eukaryota; Metazoa; Arthropoda; Insecta; Diptera; Drosophilidae. The record is from RefSeq and is a predicted model, not a curated record.